Molecule: small RNA, 30 nt
Filed under: Arabidopsis thaliana (thale cress)
Lineage: Eukaryota; Viridiplantae; Streptophyta; Magnoliopsida; Brassicales; Brassicaceae
Description: ATSL254950
Source: RNAcentral
GGAAAACAUGAUUUUUUUUUCCUUUUUUUU